This 465-nucleotide ribosomal RNA is filed under the name uncultured bacterium. RNAcentral describes it as "partial 16S ribosomal RNA". It matches the Rfam family "Bacterial small subunit ribosomal RNA", at positions 28 to 507 of the family's 1533-position model. The record is from RNAcentral.
GAUGAACGCUGGCGGCGUGCUUAACACAUGCAAGUCGAACGGAAAGGCCCAAGCUUGCUUGGGUACUCGAGUGGCGAACGGGUGAGUAACACGUGGGUGAUCUGCCCUGCACUUCGGGAUAAGCCUGGGAAACUGGGUCUAAUACCGGAUAGGACCACAUUUUGGAUGGUGUGGUGGAAAGUUUUUCGGUGUGGGAUGAGCUCGCGGCCUAUCAGCUUGUUGGUGGGGUAAUGGCCUACCAAGGCGUCGACGGGUAGCCGGCCUGAGAGGGUGUACGGCCACAUUGGGACUGAGAGACGGACCAGACGCCUACGGGAGGCAGCAGUGGGGAAUAUUGCACAAUGGGGGCAAGCCUGAUGCAGCGACGCCGGGUGGGGGAAGACGGCCUUCGGGUUGUAAACUCCUUGCGCCAGGGACGAAGCGCAAGUGACGGUACCUGGAGAAGAAGCACCGGCUAACUACGUG